UAGUCCACGCCGUAAACGAUGGUCACUAGCUGUGUGGAUUUCGGUCUGCGUGGCUAAGCGAAAGUGAUAAGUGACCCACCUGGGGAGUACGUUCGCAAGAAUGAAACUCAAAGGAAUUGACGGGGGCCCGCACAAGCGGUGGAGCAUGUGGUUUAAUUCGAUGAUACGCGAGGAACCUUACCAGGGCUUAAAUGUAAGUUGCAUUAGCUAGAGAUAGCUAUUUCUUCGGACUACUUACAAGGUGCUGCAUGGUUGUCGUCAGCUCGUGCCGUGAGGUGUCAGGUUAAGUCCUAUAACGAGCGCAACCCCUGUUGUUAGUUUGCCAGCGAGUCAAGUCGGGGGACUCUAACAAGACUGCCGGUGCAAACCGUGAGGAAGGUGGGGAUGACGUCAAAUCAUCACGGCCCUUACGUCCUGGGCCACACACGUGCUACAAUGGCCAGUACAGAGAGCAGCCCAUGUCGCAAGGCAGAGCGAAUCUACAAAACUGGUCACAGUUC
RNAcentral lists this ribosomal RNA (500 nucleotides) under uncultured bacterium. RNAcentral describes it as "bacterial SSU rRNA". It matches the Rfam family "Bacterial small subunit ribosomal RNA", at positions 791 to 1294 of the family's 1533-position model. The record is from RNAcentral.